RNAcentral lists this ribosomal RNA (254 nucleotides) under uncultured Pseudomonas sp. RNAcentral's name for it is "partial 16S ribosomal RNA". It matches the Rfam family "Bacterial small subunit ribosomal RNA", at positions 99 to 356 of the family's 1533-position model. Lineage: Bacteria; Pseudomonadati; Pseudomonadota; Gammaproteobacteria; Pseudomonadales; Pseudomonadaceae. The record is from RNAcentral.
CGGACGGGUGAGUAAUGCCUAGGAAUCUGCCUGGUAGUGGAGGACAACGUUUCGAAAGGAACGCUAAUACCGCAUACGUCCUACGGGAGAAAGCAGGGGACCUUCGGGCCUUGCGCUAUCAGAUGAGCCUAGGUCGGAUUAGCUAGUUGGUGAGGUAAUGGCUCACCAAGGCGACGAUCCGUAACUGGUCUGAGAGGAUGAUCAGUCACACUGGAACUGAGACACGGUCCAGACUCCUACGGGAGGCAGCAGUG